Long non-coding RNA from Aegilops tauschii subsp. strangulata, 4883 nucleotides. RefSeq lists it as uncharacterized. The record is from RefSeq and is a predicted model, not a curated record. Lineage: Eukaryota; Viridiplantae; Streptophyta; Magnoliopsida; Poales; Poaceae.
UCUAUCUAUCUAUAUCUAUCUAUCUAUCUAUCUAUAACUCUAUACCUAUACUAAUUACAGACUCCCUAAUAAUUCCCACGUUAAUUAGAAAUUAAGAGCCGUUUAUCUAAUGUGAUUAGAAAGCCGUUUAUCUGAUGUGAUCAAAUUAUAACGGCGGCGAUUAAUCCGUGCAAUCCUCGACCAGUUCCGGCCAAUUCCCAUAGUAAAAUCAGAAAUUAGCCCAUCUUCCUCCUCCACCUCACAAUUUCUCUGCCGCUUCUCCUUGCCCUAGAGAUUACCGGGCUAGAUCUCAACUUUCCAUCCAUGCUGCUAUCCAAUCUCCAUGUGUUCCUUUGAUUUAGAAAAGUUUACAUCGCAAGAGCAUUGGUGAGGUGGAGCAGGGGAGGUGGUUGGAUCGGGGCUGGUGGUGCUGCGAUGCCGAGGCAGUGGUCGGGGAGACGUCGUGCUGCAGCCGAGGAAGCUCGAGAGGCGGCGACUAAAGGACGCUCUACUGGAUGUGGAGAAUCUCCAUGGCGCGAUGGAUGAGGUGGGCGAGUAGAUGGGCAGCCGACGAGGUACACCGUACACAGGAGGCGGCGAUGCCAUGGACGGCGUAGAGCCGAGGUGCGGCGAGCAGAUGGGCAGUCGGCGAGGCGCACAGGAAGCGGCGGCGCCCUAGACAGCUGCAGAGGAGAGAGGCCACAAGGGGAGGAGGAGCUCAGGCGGAGCAACUCCUCGCUUCUGUCUCCAUGUCCAAAGUAGUAUCCCUCGAGGAUGCAGUUCUCAAAAAAUAUAGAUCACAAUCUAAUUUGUCCUCUCCUUGAUCCCCUUCUUCCAAGGAUUGAAUCUCUUCAGUUCCAAAAUUCAAAUCAGUGCACAAUCAUCAUCUUAAACAAACACAAGAUCCAAUCCCAGCCUCCCCGGAUGCUUUGCUCCUCAAUAUUUAAAUCCCCUCAGUUUCACCAAGCACCAUGAUUUUUCAUAAGAAUUGAGUGUUGGUCAGUUGGAAGAUGGAGAAAGUUUGAAACAGGUCGAGCGGUCGUCACCAUCGGCGAGGCUGCGAAGUGGACGAACAACACUCCCUUCACGCAGGCAGAGCAAGUGUUUUUCCAUGAAAGAGUCAAAUACUGGACAAGAAGCUCACACUUUGAUGUUUACAUGAGGCUGAGGCGCUGAGCGAUUUUGGUGUUUGAGAAAAGUUCCUACAAACAAACUUGAGCUCUCAAAGAACUGCAAGUGUCUGAUACAUCGCCAAACCUAAUUAAGUUGUGUUGUAGGGUUCCUGCGGGCGGACAGCAAGAGGCACACGCACGGUGGAAGCAGGUAGGUGGUGGAUGCGGCGACAACUGCGAGCUCCAUGUCUCCGGCAGCCGCGUCGCCUUCUUCGCUAGACAAUUAUAUUAUACAUCUGCUAAGGGUAACUACAAGGUGUUCUUCACAGAGCUCAAUUGAGCUAAAUUAGUCGAGUUGUUGGGUAAUCUAACUAAGCAUCCUUUUGGAACUAUGCUUUCAUCACGUAUUGGAAAGAUAGCAGAACAUACAUAUCAUCCACAUGCAAAGAACUGAAAUAAUUAAAGAUAGUGUGAAUUAGUACAAUUUACUGCAGAUUCGAGAACUAUUGUAAACAUUGCAAUGGAAUACUUCAGAUUUAGUAGAAUUUGUUGUAAGGUAAUGAUAUUACGUAUAUAAAUGAUUGAAAACAAUUUAAUUAGUUGUUUCCUUCUAUGUUAUUUUUAAAAUAUAAUUUCACAGAAUUAGCCUUUUGAUUCAUUUUGUUUUCUAUGAUAAAUUCGCGAUUACUAUGUCAAAUGUAAGAAACCUAUAUAUUAAGAUGCCUUUCUUCAUGUAAAUUGUGUAGACCUUAGAUUACUAGGUUGAUUGUAUUCUCUUAGCAUUGCUCAUCGUGCCUUGAAAGAAUGUGUUUCCAACAGUGCUAGAACUGUUUAAAAAUGUCAGGAAUGAUAUCGUCCGCAUCAUCAGUUGAUGAGAGAAAUAUGUGCAGAAGAUUUUUAUAGGAUCAUUUCAGGCUUAGACAUAAGUCGUAGAUAAUUGAUUUACAUCCAAUAACAACCUAGAAAGUGUUUGAAACUCAAGAUAUAAAAUUGACUUUGGAAUCAAGAAGUUUUCAUUGCAUAUGUAUAUAUGACUAUCAUAUAUGCUAGAUUAUCAUAUAAUUAUAUACGAUCAUUAAGUAUCCACUAUUCACAAUAUCAUGUACGACUAGAAGGUUUUUACAAGAUUGUGAUGUAGUGGCUGGGCAUGCCGGGCCACAUAUCAUGAAAUCCCUCCUCUCUUCUCCAUCUUGAUGAAUUCAUCGGAGAGCCACCAAUAUUUUUGCUUUAUUCGUAAUGUCUCAUCAAGACAUUUUUUUGGUUUUGUACAUUUUUCACGACACAACGCUUACCAGACUAUGAAUUAUAGGGAGUGAAGGAGAACCAACCAGCUGCGAUAAUCUGUGUGGCAUUUGCUGCCAACUAGCAGAGUUGUGUACAUAUAGAAAUCAACCACUGUCAGCCAAAUCUUUUUGAUGUUUAUAGAAGCUUUAUAGACGUUUUCCUAUGUAAAGGAUUUCGAGAUUGUACGUUUUUCUUCCAAUAUGUGCUAACUUUCAGAUUAUCUGCAUGUAUAACAAACAUUUCUUUUGUCCAGGAAUAAGAAUCAUAUCUUAUGAAGUGUAUAAUAUUUUAUUGGUAGAUUUGUAAGAUUUAAGUAUUGUUGGUUGUGCAAGAAAAUAGCUUCAUGUAUGGAUUAUUGAGUUACACAUGCUUCUGUUUAUGGUUUGUUUGUUGUAUUUGGAAACAGAUCUAGAUAGAUGAUCUUUAUAAUACAGAACAUUCAUAUUAAAUUUUCCUGUGUUUUUAGCCAUGUAAUCCAUAUUAUCAUUGUUUUUUUAAUAAUAUGUGUGAUCCUUCCUUUGGAGUUACAGUAUUCAGAUAGCAUAGUUUCCACUUACAGAAAAUAUGCUAAAAGAAUUUUCAGGUACACUUUCCGAGUGCCCUCACAGUGAUUUUCAUGUUUCUUGCAAGGGCUUCUACAUAAGGAUAAAUCUGUUCUAAAAAAAUAGUAGAUUUAUGUAGUCCCGUUAUGCGCAGCAAUAUUCACGCAUGCCUCUACAUCUACUUCAUUGAAUAGUAAUCUGCAAUCUUCAUUAGCAUAGAACAAAAAAAUCUGUGAGAAAACUUACACAUCUUUAUCUCAAAUCGUUAAAUGGGUUUAGGUACUACCAAUUUCAAUAUGGUCGCUUAUGUUUCUUUUGUCAUUGAUAGUUUCUCACAAGUCCUAACUUCCACAGGUAAGGAAUUGAUUUACCUCUUGAUAGUUUUCUUGCUUUUGGAAUUUAUCUUUCUGUUGCAACCAAAUUACAUUAUUAUUUUCUGUAAGUCGAAGUUGAAAUCCAUGGUUUCUCUAUGCUGGUAAAAAAUAAAGUUCCCCAUCUCUUUUCUUAACACAAUAUGCAUCUUAUCUUCUCUCAUGUAAGCAAUCUCGAUAAGACUCCUCUAUCUUUAAACCACACUCAAGUCCAUGGUUUCCUCGGCGCGACAAACUAUAGUUGGAUCAGUGUUUCAAAAGACGUGGCGUGGGCUUGAAGGAUACGCCGAAGGCAUCCGAUGGUCGGAGGGAUCGUCAAGGGGAGGUUCCCAGGGUUAUGAACUACCAAGUAAUUUGUAUUUUCUUUAUUAUUGUAUUUUUUGUUUGUCCUAAAUACUAGAUUCAUAUUUCUUGCUUUCCACUGUUUGUAAUAUGAUCCAAACUCCUCACGUGUUUAUGUUGCUUGAAUAUUUCAGACUGAGUUAGAAGUAAACCACAUGUCUUUCAUAGUACUUCUGGAUGGUCACAGCUAAAAUGAUAGCCUGGCUGUGUACACUAUUUGGUCACAGCUAAAAUGAUAGCCUGGUUGUGUACAUUACUUCGAGAAUUUCUCUGACCAACCACUGUUACUUAUAAACUACAGAGGCUCAUUGGCCUAUCCACAACUAUUUCAGAUUGUUAAACCUCGCCUAAUCUCAUUGUAUCUUUUUGAAUUAUGUUUUGGCUAGAAUUAUCAUACAUGAUUUAUCUUCGCCUCUUUCAUACACAUUCUUUCUGCAUGAGAAUUGAGGAGGUUAAACAAUGGCAUAAAUCAGAACAGUGACACACUUAUCAUGAGAUGGUACUUCUGUACAAACAGGGUAAGAAAGCUAUUGGAAUUUGUUGAACUUAUUAAUCGGUGAUGUUGUAAUAACUGACAAAGAGGUUGCUGAGUUCAGUCUUACAAAUAGAAAGAUGCAUGGGUACUUCUGCCCAGUCUCUAUUUUGUUUUCAGUAGUGAAGCUACAACUACUUUUUGUUUUUAGUGUGAAAACUCCAAUUUUUCCGCAUAUAGCCAGAUUCUCAAACGAUUUUGAAGACCUUUAGUCUAUUUUGUACGCCCAUGGAGAUGCUUGCUAAGUACAGUUGCAUCACAAAAUCUUAUGUGUGUUGUGGACUAUUCUUACCCGUUGAUAAUGCUACUUAGGAAACCACUUGGAUGCCAUCGCAGAACAGAGAAAGAGGCGCUAUGGACUAGGGUUUACAUGCUGGCUACGACCGACUGAAAACAUAAGACAUGGAUUGACACAGAAACAUGAAAAAGAAGAAACAAAAAUAAACAUUAUAGCCCAGUUAUAAGAACAGUGGUUUCUCUCAACGACGCAUGCUUAGUUGGCGGAGUAUGCUCCUGGCAUAUACUAGGUUAAGUGAUGUUCCAGAGUACACAUGGAAAGUGACUUGAUGGAAGCCAAGAAAAAAUAUACUGUAUCUCAAUCUAAGUGGCAACCAGUUCCAACGUGUAUAAUUAUUAUGUGCUAAUGCACAAAAGUCCUCAAGUAUAUCACUCAUCAUGGCACUAGCUUCCUGUUCAUGGCGCGCCCAUGCCGCUGUAUGUU